GACGAACGCUGGCGGCGCACCUAACACAUGCAAGUCGAGCGAUGAAAUUUUAAACGAUCUCUUCGGAGAGAAGAUAAAAUGGAUUAGCGGCGGACGGGUGAGUAACACGUGAGAAACCUGCCUUUCACAAGGGGAUAGCCUCGGGAAACCGGGAUUAAUACCCUAUGACACAUUUCCUUCGCAUGGAAGAAAUGUUAAAACUCCGGUGGUGAAAGAUGGUCUCGCGCCUGAUUAGCUAGUUGGUGGGGUAACGGCCCACCAAGGCCAUGAUCAGUAACCGGGCUGAGAGGGUGAACGGUCACAUUGGAACUGAGACACGGUCCAAAAUCCUACGGGAGGCAGCAGUGGGGAAUAUUGCACAAUGGAGGAAACGCUGAUGCAGCGACGCCGCGUGAGCGAUGAAGGCUUUCGAGUCGUAAAGCUCUGUACUAUGGGAAGAUAAUGACGGUACCAUAGGAGGAAGCCCCGGCUAACUACGUG
Molecule: ribosomal RNA, 480 nt
Filed under: uncultured bacterium
Lineage: Bacteria
Description: partial 16S ribosomal RNA
Rfam family: Bacterial small subunit ribosomal RNA
Source: RNAcentral